Molecule: ribosomal RNA, 253 nt
Filed under: uncultured bacterium
Lineage: Bacteria
Description: partial 16S ribosomal RNA
Rfam family: Bacterial small subunit ribosomal RNA
Source: RNAcentral
UACAGAGGUCUCAAGCGUUGUUCGGAAUUACUGGGCGUAAAGGGCGCGUAGGCGGCCAACUAAGUCAGACGUGAAAUCCCUCGGCUCAACCGGGGAACUGCGUCUGAUACUGGAUGGCUUGAAUUCGGGAGAGGGAUGCGGAAUUCCAGGUGUAGCGGUGAAAUGCGUAGAUAUCUGGAGGAACACCGGUGGCGAAGGCGGCAUCCUGGACCGAGAUUGACGCUGAUGCGCGAAAGCCAGGGGAGCAAACGGG